CACAGCAGCACAGUGCCAUUGGGCAAUGCUGAGCCUUUUGCCAGGCUCAGUUUUCUGCAGGUGCUGGAGAAGAAACCUGAGGUUGGCAGUGACCAGAGCUGGUUAAAGAUGCAUCUUUAAGAAAGUUUGUGAGGUGCCUGUGCUCACAAGGGAAUGAAGGUUCUUAUACACUACUGUGCAUUUCAAAUGUGUCAAGAGAGCUCAACUGACACAAAGACUGUCCUCAUCUGGAAGACCUCCAGUGCAGGAAGAGCACCUACUGGGGGACAACCACAUACCAGGGACACCUCAGCACGACUCCUGUGACAACACCAGGAGGCAGCAGGGACCAGCAGCACUGAUCCACAGACUGCAAAGUUCUGGCACUCGAAGGCUUUCUGAGUUCAGUCUCAAAAGAAGAAGAUUUGCACCCAUUGGGCCAUUGCGUGGCUGCUGGAGCUGUGUGGUGCUGGCUUAUUUCCUUUGCUUGGUGGUCAUUAAUGCCUUCUUCAUUAGCGAUUUCACAGUGCAAAAUGAAAACCGCUUGCAUCAUCCUCAGGCUCACUGGAGCUGAUAAACUUGUAAAUGUGAGACCCUGUCCUGCCAGGAAUGUGAGCAGGAGGAAGCGUCCCCCCAGGAGCAGAACAUCCCAUACCCACAGGUGAAUCACAGCAGCGCCAUCCAGCUGUGCCCCUUCCCCUGCUGCCCAGAAAGGCAGCAGCACUGGGUGCUGCUCGGGAAGGGGGCAAACAGGAGCUCAACUCCUCACCAAGGGGAAAGGCAGAGAGUUUUUGUAGCACUGUUAAUGGGACGCUGCGGGGCAGAGUGCACACAUCUCCGUGUCUCUUCUGAGUUGCUCUGACGUAUCUCCAACAGAGCACCCAUGUGAGCACACAUAUCUCUCAGUAGAGGAGUUUUGUUGGCAUUGCUCAGGUUGAGAGGGGAGGGCAAGGCAGCCUUUUGCUUGGGAACCACAGAAAAGGUUCGAGGGCUGUGCAAGCUGAGAACUGUGUAAACAGAGAGGAUAAAUUAUCCCCUAAGUUACGAAUGUGCUCAGAAGCAGAGCUACAGCCAACCUUUGCAUUAGAUGGGAACAGCUGCAUACACCAUAGCCUCCAAAUUUCCAUAGAAACUUGGAUCAGCCAUAGAUUAUCUUCAUUUUGUAAAUGUUUUAAUUAUUAUGCUAUAAUAUAGUUCUGUGGGGAUUGAAACGUUAAGCCAAGGCUCUGUGGAAGCCACAUUGUAAAAGCAGAUUCUCCAGACCGUCUUUCACAAAAAGCAAAGCCGUUUCAGGAUUAAGACUUAUGGUUUCUGAUAGAUUUGCUUUUUUUUCCAUGCUACUGCAUGCACUGCUUUAAAUAAAGAAACCCCCAC
This is a long non-coding RNA of Gallus gallus (chicken), 1353 nucleotides long. The record is from Ensembl. NCBI's taxonomy places the organism in Eukaryota, Metazoa, Chordata, Aves, Galliformes, Phasianidae.